AGGGAAGGUGUUAGCACCCAAAGUGUCCUAGGUAUUCCUAGGGAGCCCUUUUUGUGUGCAUAUGUAUUUUGUACAAAGUGAUGUUUACAAACAAAUAGAAUGGGGGUAUGAGAAAAGAAUUGAUUAAUUAUAUUUUUGUGUUUGACAAGACCUUCGGUCUUAUGCCUACGUACCAACAUAUAAAUGAGGGAUUAAAACCUCAUAGUUCGUGCUAUAAAUUUCAAAGUGAGUAUGUUGGUUUUAACCAAAAUUAAGCUUGAAAGGCAC
This 267-nucleotide long non-coding RNA is filed under the name Lathyrus oleraceus (garden pea). RNAcentral describes it as "Pisum sativum (pea) long non-coding RNA (PSAT_LNC037144)". Lineage: Eukaryota; Viridiplantae; Streptophyta; Magnoliopsida; Fabales; Fabaceae. The record is from RNAcentral.